GUGGUGAUUCAGUCUGUGAAUACUAUUUACGCAUUGAUUUGAUAGUGGGGUUUCGGGGGGGGGAUGCAUUCCAAAUAAACAUCAUAUAAACAAACAUACAUAUCUGCCUGAAAUCCAUUUUUGAGGGACCAUGGUGACUUGGUGCAAUGAGGAAUCAAUGAUUUUAUGCUUCACUCUGUGGACACACAUGGGACUUAGGAUCUAAGGGUGGGUUAACAUAUAAAAGCCAGGAUUAAUUGUUACCCGCCAGUUCUAAGUGUGCCACUUUAAGUGUCUUGCUUUCGUUUCCAUUCACUCCUACAGUCGGGACCCUACGCACAAUUGGAAAUAACCCCGGGGGAACUCAGUGGAACAUAUUUACCACAAAGGGGAACUUUUACACGGGAUGCAUCCUGUCAGUGCGGUCUCUCCGCCCGGGAAUGCCCCCCGCCUCUCCUCUUGCAACAGACUCACAGCAGCAGGUUGUUGCAGCGGGAGGGUGGGCGACAGGUUCUCACGCAGACCGGGGCUGCCCGCAGCUCAUUGGCGGCCGGCCCGCCGCUGGCUGGCGCUUUUUCCUUCCCCGUGCGAGAGGCGAGUAGGAGCCGCUCCCGCGAGUGAGACGCUGCAAACCGAGGCCGGGCGGGCGCUCGUCGUGUACCGCCACGUCUCCUCCCGCGACUUACCCGCCGCGGCAUCGCCAGCCAUGAACGUGAGAAGAGUGGCCAGCAUCUCGGCGCAGCUGGAGGAAGCCAGCACCACCGGCGUGAUUUGAAAGUGGGAGUUCUAACUACUUGACUACAUGGGCCUGCCCGUAGGGCUGCUACGGAAGCUUCAACAGGUCCAGAACAUGGUCCCCAAACUUCUGAGUGGUGUAAAGAAGUAUCAACACAUCUCUCCUACUCUGGCUGCCCUGCACUGGUUACCCAUCUGUUUCCAUGCCAGCUUCAAGAUGAUGGUGUUAACUUACAAGGCCCUAAACAGUUUGGGACCUCGAUACCUUGCACCUCCUCCUCAUUAGAUUUGCCUGUCCAAUAUGAUUCUUCCAAGUUGGGCAAUUGAGAGUAUUGACCCCAAGAGAGGCCUGGAAAGUGAGGACUAGAAACCAGGCAAUCUCGGCAGUUGCUCCCCAACUUUGGAACAGUCUCUGGCCUGAAAUCUGCCUGGCCCCUUCACUGAGA
This 1160-nucleotide long non-coding RNA is filed under the name Pogona vitticeps (central bearded dragon). RNAcentral's name for it is "lncRNA (ENSPVIG00000020264.1)". Lineage: Eukaryota; Metazoa; Chordata; Lepidosauria; Squamata; Agamidae. The record is from RNAcentral.